AGGGUUCGAUUAUGGCUCAGGAUGAACGCUGGCGGCGUGCCUAACACAUGCAAGUCGAGCGAAGCGCUCAGGAGGAAGUUUUCGGAUGGAAUCCUGAAUGACUGAGCGGCGGACGGGUGAGUAACGCGUGGGUAACCUGCCUCAUACAGGGGGAUAACAGUUGGAAACGGCUGCUAAUACCGCAUAAGCGCACAGUACCGCAUGGUACGGUGUGAAAAACUCCGGUGGUAUGAGAUGGACCCGCGUCUGAUUAGCUAGUUGGUGGGGUAACGGCCUACCAAGGCGACGAUCAGUAGCCGACCUGAGAGGGUGACCGGCCACAUUGGGACUGAGACACGGCCCAA
RNAcentral lists this ribosomal RNA (344 nucleotides) under uncultured bacterium. RNAcentral describes it as "bacterial SSU rRNA". It matches the Rfam family "Bacterial small subunit ribosomal RNA", at positions 8 to 334 of the family's 1533-position model. The record is from RNAcentral.